RNAcentral lists this ribosomal RNA (225 nucleotides) under uncultured Chryseobacterium sp. RNAcentral's name for it is "partial 16S ribosomal RNA". It matches the Rfam family "Bacterial small subunit ribosomal RNA", at positions 568 to 792 of the family's 1533-position model. Lineage: Bacteria; Pseudomonadati; Bacteroidota; Flavobacteriia; Flavobacteriales; Weeksellaceae. The record is from RNAcentral.
UCCGUAGGCGGAUCUGUAAGUCAGUGGUGAAAUCUCAUAGCUUAACUAUGAAACUGCCAUUGAUACUGCAGGUCUUGAGUAAGGUAGAAGUAGCUGGAAUAAGUAGUGUAGCGGUGAAAUGCAUAGAUAUUACUUAGAACACCAAUUGCGAAGGCAGGUUACUAUGUCUUAACUGACGCUGAGGUACGAAAGCAUGGGGAGCAAACAGGAUUAGAUACCCUCGUA